Cyprinodon tularosa is the source of this 385-nucleotide long non-coding RNA. RefSeq lists it as uncharacterized. Lineage: Eukaryota; Metazoa; Chordata; Actinopteri; Cyprinodontiformes; Cyprinodontidae. The transcript has 2 exons. The record is from RefSeq and is a predicted model, not a curated record.
GGAGGGCAGGCAGGAAAGAGAAAGAAGAGAGGAAGGAAGGAGGGGGCAGCGAAAGCAGAGCUGUGAUGCAGACAGCGAAUCACAUGAGCAGGGAUCUGUUUACAAACUGAGAGCUGCAGAUGAGAAGUGGAGAAGAGAGACGAGGGAGGAGAGUAAAUGGAGCAGAAAAGCAGAUGGAGGUGUUGGGAUCCGCUUUCCACAGGAGCACGAAGGGGACUGCCUUCUUCUCACUGCCUUCACAGAUAACAGGCUGAGCUGAAGGGAAAUUCAUCCAUGUCUUUUUUCUUUGUCUCUCCACGGCAGGCUAUUGAAGCCAGAGAUAAGAAGAGUGACUCAAGAAUCUAAGAGGAGAACACACAGGAGGAAGAAGAAAGGAGAGCAAAUG